CACAUAUACAUGCUCACAGACACAUUCACACACAAGGAUACUCAGGCACACAUACAGGUCCACAAUGCCAGAGACACUGACACACUCAGUCAGCAAUGCACACACACAAUCUCAAGCACAUACAGAGUAGUUAGCGCUAUACACAUAGACACACUCAGCUUCCCCUACAGCUCUCAGUCUUCUUCACAUACACCACUUUGCCAGUUAUGUGUUAAGUGUCCCUUUGAAGUAGCAGGGACUUUUGUGGGAUUGGCUGUAACUCUUUAAUUUGCUGAAUAUAAAAUGAAAAAGCUGUUUUAUGUGUCGAAGUUGCAAGCUACAUCCACUAUGCCCUCACACAGCAUUGCUCUACACACUAAAUGGUUAAAUUUAAAUUGACACAACGAGGUAAACCAAGAAUAUUAUAUUAAAAAUACUCCAUAUGUUACUGUGGCAGUGAAAGGAAGUCACGUUAUUUUC
Non-coding RNA from Pelobates cultripes (western spadefoot toad), 459 nucleotides. The record is from the annotation of a GenBank genome assembly. Lineage: Eukaryota; Metazoa; Chordata; Amphibia; Anura; Pelobatidae.